CCAGCUAGGUGAGCUGGACAAGCUAGGAUGAACUAGCUAGCUAAGCUAGGUGAGCUAAACCAGCUGGAAGACUAGCUAGCUCAGCUAGGUGAGCUGACCGACAGCUCGACUGAGCUCGGUGAACUGAUCGUGUACUGACCCAGCUGGGUGGUUCGGUCAGCUGACACUCGAGCUGGUGGACUGUGGUAGCUCACGGGUGAAGAGGUGUCUCGCCCAAAAGGUGUAAGGUCGAGCGGGUACCAACGAACGGAUGCAUCGCCUAAUAGAUGCAAGGAACGGAUGCAUCGCCUAAUAGAUGCAAGGAACGGAUGUGACCUUUUGGAAGGAUGCAAGGAACGGAUGUGACCUUUCAGAAGGGUGCAAGGAACGGAUGUGAUGCUUCGGGAAGCAUCCAUUCGCCCCCUAUAUAAGGGAGAACGCCCAAGGCCUUUGGAAUAAUCUCACAUCAUCUCACAAUAAUCUCAUAUCAUCCCACAACAUCCAAAACACCAUAAAACAUUCUUAAAGGAGUCUCAACACAUCCUAGAGUUGUUGGUCGGAAAGGGGGUGCGGCUCGGCGAGUAUAACUCGACCGAACUGAUGCGCAUGCUACCUCCCGGUCCAACGGUUCGAUGGAGUGUAGAGGAUGGAGAGGGUAGACCAUUCGUCUUAGAGACGAAUCGGAUCUGGUAGACCGAUCGUUGGAUCGGAUCGGCCAGACCGAUCGUCAAACGGAUCGGAUCGGCCAGACGGAUCGGACAGACCGAUCGUCGGACGGGUCGGAUGGGACAGGCCGAUCGUCUGACGGAACGGGUCGGACAGACCGAUCGUCGGAUGGGAUGGAUCGAGAAAAGUGUUCGAGGAAGCACAAGGAUAAGUGCAUCCGAACACACCCAAGGGUCACCCAUGGAUGCAAUCUUACCGGUAAAGGGAGAAAGCACCAAGAAUGGGUAAGGAACGUGAUUCAC
Molecule: small RNA, 947 nt
Filed under: Arabidopsis thaliana (thale cress)
Lineage: Eukaryota; Viridiplantae; Streptophyta; Magnoliopsida; Brassicales; Brassicaceae
Description: ATSL165880
Source: RNAcentral